This is a long non-coding RNA of Bombina bombina (fire-bellied toad), 525 nucleotides long. RefSeq lists it as uncharacterized. The record is from RefSeq and is a predicted model, not a curated record. The transcript is spliced from 3 exons. Lineage: Eukaryota; Metazoa; Chordata; Amphibia; Anura; Bombinatoridae.
GGCCGAAGGGAUCUGAUUGUGGACUGGUGAAUGUCAACAUUACUACUAGUGGUGCUGAAAUUGGUGGAGCUUUUGGUGGUGAGAAGCACACAGGUGGAGGUAGAGAGUCAGGAAGUGAUUCAUGGAAACAUUAUAUGAGACGAUCUACCUGCACUAUAAAUUACAGUAAAGAUUUGCCACUGGCACAAGGAAUAAAGUUGCCGUGACACAGGCUGAUAUUUCAAGACAACUAAGAAAUCCACAAACUGGAAGAUUUCUUCUUGCAAAAAUCUGCCGCAGCUCCUCACUUCAUAGCUGACAAAUAUUUUCUUUAUAAAAGUAAAUCUCUCUAAUGCAUUAUUUGAUUUUGUAAUCUGAACACAAAAAAACUACAGCAGGUGUCUGUAAACAAAAAGCAAAAUAUACCUGGCAACUGUUGCACCAGACUUCACAAAAUUCUCAAUGACUUAUGUAGGAAUGCCUCCUCCAUACAAUUGUGAUGUUUUGUUUCUUCCAUAGAAGAAAAAUAAAGUUUAUUUUUACCAA